RNAcentral lists this ribosomal RNA (521 nucleotides) under uncultured delta proteobacterium. RNAcentral's name for it is "bacterial SSU rRNA". It matches the Rfam family "Bacterial small subunit ribosomal RNA", at positions 29 to 523 of the family's 1533-position model. Lineage: Bacteria; Deltaproteobacteria. The record is from RNAcentral.
AACGAACGCUGGCGGCGUACUUAACACAUGCAAGUCGGACGAGAAAGGAAGCUUUUCGGCUUUCUGAGUAAAGUGGCGCACGGGUGCGUAACACGUAAGUAAUCUACCCUGGACUCUGGGAUAACUCCCCGAAAGGGGGGCUAAGACUGGAUAGCAACCUGCGGUGCAAGCCACAGGAGGAAAACAGGCCUCUGCAUUAUGCUUGUGGUUCAGGAUGAGCUUGCGGCCCAUUAGCUAGUUGGUGGGGUAAGGGCUCACCAAGGCGACGAUGGGUAGCUGGUCUGAGAGGAUGAUCAGCCACACUGGCACUGAGAUACGGGCCAGACUCCUACGGGAGGCAGCAGUGGGGAAUUUUGCGCAAUGGGCGAAAGCCUGACGCAGUAACGCCGCGUGGAGGAUGAAGGCCUUCGGGUUGUAAACUCCUGUCAGAGGGAACGACGGUGGUAGUGUGAAUAGCACUACUUGCUAGACGGUACCCUCAAAGGAAGCCCCGGCUAAUUCCGUGCCAGCAGCCGCGGUAA